Long non-coding RNA from Corvus hawaiiensis (hawaiian crow), 5064 nucleotides. RefSeq lists it as uncharacterized. NCBI's taxonomy places the organism in Eukaryota, Metazoa, Chordata, Aves, Passeriformes, Corvidae. The transcript has 2 exons. The record is from RefSeq and is a predicted model, not a curated record.
GUGAAUUAACCCACCCCUUCAUUUGGACUGCUCAGGCGGUGGGCUGCAAUCCAGCGUUGGCCUACAAGUAAUGUCUGACCAGACUGACUGCCAUUGACCUGAUGGCAAUGCCACCCCCCGAUAUGGCUCCAGUCACAACUGGGAGAGUUCGGAGCCGUGAGCAGCUGCUCCCCGCUGCAGUUCCCAGCCACGGCAGUGUCACGCUGUGCUUCACCGGAGCACUGCCUGCCGCGUGAAGAUGCACCAUCAACCUUUUGAAAAAUGGGUGAACUUGAGCGAAAUUUGGCUGGAGAUCUCCGUGAUGCCCACCUGACCUCACGGCCUCACUGUCAGAAGGCACUCGAGGUUGAGGGCCAGGUGUGUGCAUCCCAACUUCACUCCAUCUGAGCUUCACAUGCUCCAGGGCACGCUGGAGUUCGCUGCUGGAACACGCGUGUGCACCGGCGUCGGAGCACGGCCGCGCUGUACCUCCUGUCCGGGCAGAGCGGGCACCAGCCCGCACGAGGGGAAAAGCACGGAAGGGAAGAGCCGCGAGGAACCCGAAGACGGGACAAGGACGCCUUCUCACCCCGCCUGUGAACCUCUUCAGUUCAGCACCUGACCCUUUCUCCCUACACCUCACUAAGAGCCACCUGCCCCUCUGCCCUCAGCACCUCUUCCAGCCUUCAAAACUCUCAGAGCAUCUUCAGAUGACUGCUCAGCCUGUGUCCUGCCUGUGAAUCAUCCAUGGAAUUGGGACAUGAUCCCUGCUACUGACUCUUCAGCACUCAAAGAUAAGAGAGCUCAGGAGCAUCCUGCGCCGCUGGGUUUGUUGGUGCUGUGGUUUGAACCUGAAUUAUAGCACUGGUCAGAGGACAGGUGUGCAGGAGGCUUAUCAGGAGGGGGUUUGAAAUCUUAAAUGGAUCUUUUUGCAUUUCCUUUAGCAAUCUGGUCUUUUUUAAUAAUCACUGAGCCAUGAUGACAAGGGCAAAACUAAUGUAUAUACGGCAUUGUAUUUACAUUGUUUGGUGCGUAGCAAGCUUUUGCUUUCAUACAAACCAAAGGAAGAAUGCACUUGCUGUGGUAACUGAUUUGCCAGAGCUAAUGAACCUGAUUCAACUCUUCAGUUUGAUUUGUCUUUUUAACAUACUUGGUAGCAGGCAACCUUAUGACCCCUCAGGGAAAUUAAAACUCUAAAGCUCAUAUGUCUGGCCUUUUCUGUCAAAACAGUGUUGUCAUUGAGCUAUUGCUCUUUCUCUUACAGGCUAAAAUUAAACUCCAAAGCCAAUAAGAUCCUCAAUGGAGUUUGUUCAGUUUAGCUGGUUGGUUGGUUUUUAACUAAACACAGAAAUCUCAAAAUGACAAAUCAAUAUCAUUUAACUAAAAAUUUAAAAAGAAAACACAUAAAUGAACCCAUGGAAUCGGGGAGUUUUUCUGACAGCUACAACUAAAAUUCAAGUUCCUUUAGCCCCCAGACACACAGGCAUAUACAUGAUUUUUUUUUUUAAUGUGCAGUGUGAGAUGCUUUACAUACAUUUACAGAAGAGAUUGUGUAGGAAAUUUUAAGAGACAAAUUGCAAUUAGGUGCUAAAUUCUCACAGGCAAUGGAAGAUUUCCCCUGUGUGAUUAAUGGUUAUUCUGCAAAUGUGUCUCUUCUUCCUUAGCUGUUAAAUUCUCUGUUUAUGUUUAAAUUCAUGUUUUCUGUUUUAAUUUAUAUUUUAUGCUUCUUCUCCAUAUGUGGGUGAGGACUCUUUAGCCUCAUUUUGUGGAAGCUGUGUUUAAGAUACUGUGCUGCCUCUUUGAGCAUGAGACCUCUCUGUGAAUCUUCAAAUGCUUAAGCUCAUUGAGCACAUUUGAGAGGUAUUGAAAUCCAAAAACUAUUAAGUCCUUUAAAGUAUUCUGAAACUAGGCAACCAGUUAAGAGCUGUGGUUAAUGCUUCAGGGAGGUAAAAAGUGCAACACUUCAUAUGAGACCUCAAAGUCCAGAUAGGGUCUCAACCUCAAGACACAAAUCCAUACAAAAUCAGGCUUCAUUGAUCCCCCUGCUUAGAGAACCACUACAGAAAUAAGAGAGAGAGAGAGACAGAGUUUUCUAUAGCAUAUACAUCCCUAGAGUGUCUACUCAGCUUUCGUAUGAGGGAGCUACUGUAAUGUAAUGACUUUCUCAUAUGAUUAUAUUAUCAUUUGCAAAAAGAGAUAUUUGCAUAUAUGUGUACACAGAUAUGAAAGGUCGCCUUUUUUUUUUUAAUUACACUGCCAGUAUCUCUCACUGCCUCCAUGUGAACAGACCUUAGCCCCAUAUAAUCUCUUUGAUGAAGGAAAAAUACAAAACCACAUGCCAAACAUUUUGAGUUUUCAGCAUAGACCUGGAUCUAUGUUGACAAGCUUUUCCCAGGGAUAGUAACAUCAGUAAAAUAUUUUCAUUCCAAUUUCCUGAGAGGUUGGAAAAAUCAACAAAAGAAUAGCAUGAGAUAGAUUGCCAGAAAUAAUAUUACCAUUUUAGACAUGAAACCAUCUCACAACAUCAUGUGAGUAUUGAAAUGCUUUAAAACAUUUUCUUUAAUUUGAUUUGUUUGUAUUUGUUCUGGGUUUUGUUUUCUUUUAACUAUGCCUGAUUUUUCUCGCUGAAUAAGAGGAUUGCAGCUGUUGAACAGAAACAGGGAGGCAGAUGACUGCAAAAGAGGAUCGUGUCUGAUUGGGGGUUCAGAAGACAGUCUGCACUGUACAAGGGAUGGUGUAGGUUUGCUUAGUGACCAGGUAGGUUUCUCUGGUAUUGUUAAGAAUAACAUUAAAGGCAGUGAUGUUCAGCCAUACCAGCACCAGCAGAGGUAAUGAGGCUGUGGACAAAUCCAGGUGGCUUUGUCCUUUCCAUUUGGGUGGUGCUAAAGCAGGGAAGGUUCAAUCCAGCAAGUCUGCAGGCAUAAGCAGAAGUCCAGGGAGAGAUACUGCCUUCCACAUCUGCCAGUGCAGGAAGUGCCUAGGGUACAGUAAAUGGCUUGGAAUGGAUCUACACAAGGGCAUUUUCAACUCUGUGUCCAGAGCUACAGCUUGAUGAGCCUUCAGAUCUCACACCAACAGCACUCCUGGGAUUCCUGACUAUUCAGUUGUCCUGUGGGACAUCUAUUCAAAGGGACUGUGGGAAAACAUGAUCAAAGCAAUCUUGUUGUUCAAGGAAGUAGCAGACAGCAAGGGGGCAAGGCUGGGGAAGGAGAGGUGUCUGGCCAAAACAGGUCUCCCUGUGCUGAGAUAUCCAGCACACCUGGAGAAAAGAAGAAAUUGUCUUUAUCCUGCCUGUCAUAAUCUGCUCCCCUUUCAGCCUCCUCUAACUGUUUACAAGCACCUCUGGAGAUUUCUGAAAGGUAACAGGAGUCGGGGAGUUAAAGAAUUUGGGAUAGCAAACCACUUUUCCCUAAGAUGUCAACAUAGAUCCAGUUGAGAUCACCCACAGAAGAUUACGGAUGUUGGCUUGUGGAGAGGUGGGCUUUACUGGAACCUCAGCUACAGAGGUGUACUUCUACAUGAGAGCAGUUCUAGCUCUGGGGUCUACAUGCAUUUAUCUGUCUGAAAUGUGUUUAGAUUACCUGGAGCAGCCAGAACUGUAAAGCAAGACUCUUACAGUCCAGUCUCCCAACAAGCCGCCAUCAGCAGCCAUGUAAAACCUGCAGGAAGAGAGUCACAGUAAGCACUGGGCAUUGUACAUGCAAAAGGCAUGAGAUGAAUCUUUCUUUCCCACAAGAAAAAACUGUUCCCUCUCACUGAAGCCCUGGAAAAAUGCCUUUUUUGUCCUUUGCCUGCAAGACAUUUACAGUAUUUUCUGAAAAUUGGAUACGCUACUGUUGGUAAACAGUGUUAUGUCUGUAACUGUAAUGAAAUAAAAUUGUACAUUCAUAUAAAUAACCUUUUUCUAGCAAAAUACCAAACCAAAUUAAUCUAAUUAACAAGUUGAUAUUGAACAUAGUAACUUACAGACAAGCAAUUCGUAAACUAUCUAACAACGUAUUAAGCAAACAACAGCAUUUGUCAAAGGAAAUUUAAGACAUUCUGCCAACUAGAGGACUUGGCUAAACUAAUACAUUUGUAGCUGGAUCUAAUUAUUGAAUUAGAGCUUCUAAAAUGCUGUUAUGGCAGCCUGCCUGGACUGUUGUGGUUAGACAAUAGCAAUUCUUCCCUUUUCUUCCAGUGUUUUCAUUCAUUUGCAGCAUAAUUUUUGAAGAAUAGAGCUUGGAAGCCAGUCCAGCAUCCCACAUCACAAUUAACAGUCAAACCUAUAGGAUAAUAAAUAGGACAUACAUUAUUGCCCCAACCUUACACUGCCUCAAUACAGUCAGAUGUUUACAGCUAGAUACUUAUUUCUAAACAUUGUCCUAGGCAGCAAUUCUAAAGAAAAAAAUCCCUAACAGACACUACAGAAAAAAAAAAUAUUAAAUUACAUAUUUGAGUUUCUCUUUCCCAAUUCUUGCCAAACUGUAUUAGUCUCAGGCAGAUAGAUCUGCAGUUUAAUUAAGACCUAGGUAGCUUUCUGGUAAUAAUAAACUAAUGGACUGGUAAACUACUUUUACUGGUGUGUGGUGACUCGAUCUCUAACACUGUUUGGUUCUUCUGACUUGUUAGAAGAGGAAAUAGUAAAUACCUGUUGUGAACCUUUCAAAGGUUAAAGUGUCUCACUUCCCACAGAUUUUCAACAAGCUAAUAAAAGGCACCUGGGAAAAGGGGAAUGUAGGUGGCUGGAGAAGGCUGAUAAAAAUAGGAUGAAAUGUAGUGAGUGCUUCCCAAGCUUGUAUUAGGUUUGUAUUACAAGCCAAGAACAUCUUCCUAUCAGCUUUCACUGAAGCUGACAGUCAGUAAGAACAGAUUACUAAUUUAGUAAUUCAUGAAAAAUUCUAUUUUGGCAAGUGAGAAUGCUGUCUGAACGGGAAGUUAUUAAAACUAAUUGGGUCAUGUAAAACCAGACAGUUUGUCUGUGAGCCCCACUAACAAAGCUGAGCCAGCUUGGGGAAUGGCUGAGAACUUACUCUGUUUUAGAGCUUUGAAGCACACUGGAUCUCAUUAAAAAACAAAUAAACGCAUUUCAAAUGGAGAACAAUG